Molecule: ribosomal RNA, 492 nt
Filed under: uncultured bacterium
Lineage: Bacteria
Description: partial 16S ribosomal RNA
Rfam family: Bacterial small subunit ribosomal RNA
Source: RNAcentral
AGUGAACGCUGGCGGUAGGCCUAACACAUGCAAGUCGAACGGCAGCACAGUAAGAGCUUGCUCUUACGGGUGGCGAGUGGCGGACGGGUGAGGAAUACGUCGGAAUCUACUUUUUCGUGGGGGAUAACGUAGGGAAACUUACGCUAAUACCGCAUACGACCUACGGGUGAAAGCAGGGGAUCUUCGGACCUUGCGCGAUUGAAUGAGCCGAUGUCGGAUUAGCUAGUUGGCGGGGUAAAGGCCCACCAAGGCGACGAUCCGUAGCUGGUCUGAGAGGAUGAUCAGCCACACUGGAACUGAGACACGGUCCAGACUCCUACGGGAGGCAGCAGUGGGGAAUAUUGGACAAUGGGCGCAAGCCUGAUCCAGCCAUACCGCGUGGGUGAAGAAGGCCUUCGGGCUGUAAAGCCCUUUUGUUGGGAAAGAAAAGCAGCAGGUUAAUACCCCGCUGUUCUGACGGUACCCAAAGAAUAAGCACCGGCUAACUUCGUG